This 360-nucleotide ribosomal RNA is filed under the name Bitis arietans (puff adder). RNAcentral describes it as "partial 12S ribosomal RNA". The record is from RNAcentral. Lineage: Eukaryota; Metazoa; Chordata; Lepidosauria; Squamata; Viperidae.
CAAUUGUUCGCCAAACAACUACGAGUAGUAACUUAAAACUUAAAAGACUUGACGGUACUUCACCACAAUCUAGAGGAGCCUGUCUAAUAACCGAUAACCCACGAUUAACCCAACCCCCUCUUGCCAACAGUCUAUAUACCACCGUCGCAAGCUUACCUUAUAAAAGAAACAAAGUAAGCUAAAUAGCAUUUCACUAAAACGACAGGUCGAGGUGUAACUCAUGAGCGGGACCUAGAUGGGCUACAUUCUCUCCCUCACCAAGAACUAGGUGUUUGAAGGAGGAUUUAGCAGUAAGAUAGGAAUAAAAUGCCUAACUGAACAUAACGCAAUGAAGUGCGUACACACCGCCCGUCACCCCUG